RNAcentral lists this ribosomal RNA (495 nucleotides) under uncultured bacterium. RNAcentral's name for it is "partial 16S ribosomal RNA". It matches the Rfam family "Bacterial small subunit ribosomal RNA", at positions 28 to 507 of the family's 1533-position model. The record is from RNAcentral.
GACGAACGCUGGCGGCGUGCCUAAUACAUGCAAGUAGAACGCUGAAGGAGGAGCUUGCUUCUCUGGAUGAGUUGCGAACGGGUGAGUAACGCGUAGGUAACCUGCCUGGUAGCGGGGGAUAACUAUUGGAAACGAUAGCUAAUACCGCAUAAUAGUAGAUGUUGCAUGACAUUUGCUUAAAAGGUGCACUUGCAUCACUACCAGAUGGACCUGCGUUGUAUUAGCUAGUUGGUGAGGUAACGGCUCACCAAGGCGACGAUACAUAGCCGACCUGAGAGGGUGAUCGGCCACACUGGGACUGAGACACGGCCCAGACUCCUACGGGAGGCAGCAGUAGGGAAUCUUCGGCAAUGGACGGAAGGCUGACCGAGCAACGCCGCGUGAGUGAAGAAGGUUGUCGGAUCGUAAAGCUCUGUUGUAAGAGAAGAACGAGUGUGAGAGUGGAAAGUUCACACUGUGACGGUAUCUUACCAGAAAGGGACGGCUAACUACGUG